GUGAGGCACGUGCAUGACCAAGGUGACUUCCAGGGGACACCUUCAAGGAACUGGCUGCCAUUCUCAGGGGUCAGCCCCCUCCCGCUCCCUGAGAGUCUUUGAAGAGAUGGCAGAAGGUGAGGAGGCAGCAGGGUGGGGCAUCGCCUCCCUCCCUUCAGGCCUGGACACACAUCGCUAGUGUGACGGAUGAGGACUGGGGCUCCUUCAGCCACGGGAGGGUGGCUCGCUCGCGCUCUCUCCCUCCAGACAAGAAGAUGCUUUUCACCUGGGCAAGAGAAGUGGUAGAGGGUCUGAGUGGACUGUCUCCCUUCCGUGUUUCUCAGCGCGUGAUCCUCCCCCUCACAGGAUCCUCCCGGUCUCUGGUUCCCGGCUGCAUCAUGGGAAGAUCCCGGACCACUCCUAAUGUCUGCCACUCCAGUCUGCAGGCCCUGGCCCCAACCCCGGGACCUGCCUCAUGCAG
Molossus molossus (Pallas's mastiff bat) is the source of this 460-nucleotide long non-coding RNA. RefSeq lists it as uncharacterized. The transcript has 3 exons. Lineage: Eukaryota; Metazoa; Chordata; Mammalia; Chiroptera; Molossidae. The record is from RefSeq and is a predicted model, not a curated record.